Molecule: long non-coding RNA, 640 nt
Organism: Oncorhynchus keta (chum salmon)
Lineage: Eukaryota; Metazoa; Chordata; Actinopteri; Salmoniformes; Salmonidae
Exons: 5
Source: RefSeq, a predicted model, not a curated record
AUCACAAAAUGUAUUUUGUCGACAUCAUCUGUAAGUUUUGCCAGAACAGAGGAACAUCAUUUCGAAAUACAUGCUCUGAUAUUAUAAUUAAUUGGAGGCGGCAUAAAAAAACCAAGUAGUCUACAGUUACCUUUUCACCUCGUCUUCGUGUAUUGGUUGUUUGGCACAGAGACAUGUCCAUCAAAUACAUCGCUAGCUACUCACCGCUGCACAUGUAGGCCUUCUCCAUAACCCAGAUGUAGAAACCACACAGGUCACAGGACUGCCUGAUGUUGACCUGAAAAGACGAUCAGGGGUGGAAUACAUCUCCGAACCUCUUAAAAUGACACCUUCAACUGCUGCUCUGGAGCAUUCAAAAAGAGUCAAAGUGCCAUGGUCAGGAUGUAAACUCACCAAUACGGAGUACAUGCCCUUUAUGGUCUCUCUGAACUGCAUGGUGGCCGUAAGGAAGAUCAUCUCUGUUGGUGACAGCUCCUUUACCCUGGUCCUCAGCUCGUUUACCUGGGAGGUAUAGGAAGAGGAAGUGUCUCCUGAUCAGACAGGCCCUGAACCAGCGCUGGAGGAUGACGAUGUGACGCAUCACUUCCUUGUUCAGGGUGUCCUGCAGAUGCUGCCUCUCCCUCUCCUUUAGGAACACCUG